UAUGGCUGUGUGUCUGUGUCUCUGUGCGUCUGUGUCUCUGUGUGUCUCUGUCUGUGUGUCUCUGUGUCUGUGUGUCUGUGUGUGUCUGUGUGUCUGUGUCUGCUUCAGAGUGUUUCCAGAGCAGAUUGUCAGCCCCUUGAAGGACGGCCAGGCCCUCGCAAGGAGAGAAGUUGGGUGGUCCUGACAGGACCUGGUUUGGGUGGCUUUGAGUUUUUACUCCGAGGUGGUCCCCCUUGCCCUUUCUUUCCUUUUAUUUUGAACUUCCUUCUCUUUUCUUUUAACUUUAAAGAGUGGAGCUAGCAUUUGACUUAGAGAGGGGCCGGCCCAGGCCCUGCAGCCGGUCAUAAGAUACCGGGUCACGUGCAAGCGCCAGGCUGUGAAGAAACCGCCAGCUUCCAGCGUGUCCUGCCUGAGCCUUUGGACUUUGACAUGUGUGUGGAGUUGCUUUUUUGGAGCAUUUGUAGCCCCAGUUAGUGGUGAGGGUUGUAGGAGCACUUGUACUCCCAGUUAGUGGUGAGGAUUGUAGGAGCAUGUGUAGCCCCAGUUAGUGGUGAGGGUUGUAGGAGCACGUGUAGCCCCAGUUAGUGGUGAGGGUUGUAGGAGCACGUGUAGCCCCAGUUAGUGGUGAGGGUUGUAGGAGCACGUGUAGCCCCAGUUAGUGGUGAGGGUUGUAGGAGCACGUGUAGCCCCAGUUAGUGGUGAGGGUUGUAGGAGCACGUGUAGCCCCAGUUAGUGGUGAGGGUUGUAGGAGCACGUGUAGCCCCAGUUAGUGGUGAGGGUUGUAGGAGCACGUGUAGCCCCAGUUAGUGGUGAGGGUUGUAGGAGCACGUGUAGCCCCAGUUAGUGGUGAGGGUUGUAGGAGCACGUGUAGCCCCAGUUAGUGGUGAGGGUUGUAGGAGCACGUGUAGCCCCAGUUAGUGGUGAGGGUUGUAGGAGCACGUGUAGCCCCAGUUAGUGGUGAGGGUUGUAGGAGCACGUGUAGCCCCAGUUAGUGGUGAGGGUUGUAGGAGCACGUGUAGCCCCAGUUAGUGGUGAGGGUUGUAGGAGCACGUGUAGCCCCAGUUAGUGGUGAGGAUUGUAGGAGCACGUGUAGCCCCAGUUAGUGGUGAGGAUUGUAGGAGCACAUGUAGCCCCAGUUAGUGGUGAGGAUUGUAGGAGCACGUGUAGCCCCAGUUAGUGGUGAGGGUUGUAGGAGCACGUGUAGCCCCAGUUAGUGGUGAGGGUUGUAGGAGCACGUGUAGCCCCAGUUAGUGGUGAGGAUUGUAGGAGCACGUGUAGCCCCAUUAGUGGUGAGGGUUGUAGGAGCACGUGUAGCCCCAGUUAGUGGUGAGGAUUAUAGGAGCACGUGUAGCCCCAGUUAGUGGUGAGGGUUGUAGGAGCAUGUGUAGCCCCAGUUAGUGGUGAGGGCAUACGCCGGAAGGUCAUGCCCGUGCCAGAACUAAUACUUUCAGAAUUGGCUUUCUCGUGUAACAGAAGUUGGGGUGCAGCCGCGGUGUCACGACUGGGAUCUCAGUGAGAGGUGUGCAGGGAGGGAGCCCCCUCGGGCUUCUGGAGGUCAGACGCUCGCAGUUCAGGCAUCUGUCUCGCUCGGGCUCGCUCUGGGGUAGGUGGAGAGCCCCGUUCCCCAGGGACAGCUGGUUCCGCCGCUCCUCUCAGCGGAUGAGAAGUAGCUUUCCAAGCAGUGUGAGUAGUUCACGUUGCCACCGAGGCAGAGUGCCUGCUUCAGCAGUGCUGUGCUCAGUCAUCACCGCGGAGCAGUGGGGCAGACUCGCUCUCUGGGAAGCUGUGGAGGGCUGUCUCCUUAACACCCGAGCUUUCGGGAGUGUGGUGGGCAGGUCAUGGGCAGAAAGAACUUGACGUGAUGUGACGUGAGUGCUGCUGCGGGGCUGGGACCCAGGCGAGGCCGUGGUUCACGCCUAGCAGCCGUGAGCAGGGUACCCAGGAUACCCCUGCGUCUGGCAGCUCGUGCUUAGGAAUGCCUGGUUCUCACGAGCGACGCGCCGCGUGCCUUCGGAGCCCUUCCUAGUCCUGUGACCUCCGAGAGCUGGAGCUCAGCAAGUGUCCUCCCCUCCACCCCACUGUCACUCGGCCUGCCUCUUUGCUCACCCGGCGGAGCACACGAUGUAGGAAUACACGGCUCCCGGUACUCAGCAUCCACAGGCAUGUGGCCCAAGGCGU
This is a long non-coding RNA of Erinaceus europaeus (western European hedgehog), 2178 nucleotides long. RefSeq lists it as uncharacterized. Lineage: Eukaryota; Metazoa; Chordata; Mammalia; Eulipotyphla; Erinaceidae. The record is from RefSeq and is a predicted model, not a curated record. The transcript is spliced from 3 exons.